AACGAACGCUGGCGGCGUGCCUAACACAUGCAAGUCAAACGGACGUAGCAAUACGUAAAGUGGCGCACGGGUGAGUAAUACAUGGGAAUCUUCCAAAUAGAGAGGGACAACGCCGGGAAACUGGUGCUAAUACCUCAUAAGCAGGCAACUGGAAAGGUGGGGACCGCAAGGCCUACCGCUAUUUGAUGAGCUCAUGUCCCAUUAGCUAGUUGGCGGGGUAACAGCCCACCAAGGCUUAGAUGGGUAGCUGGUCUGAGAGGACGAUCAGCCACACUGGAACUGAGACACGGUCCAGACUCCUACGGGAGGCAGCAGUGGGGAAUAUUGCGCAAUGGGGGAAACCCUGACGCAGCAACGCCGCGUGAGUGAUGAAGGCCUUCGGGUUGUAAAGCUCUUUCGGCUGGGAAGAAGGGUGUGCAAGCUAAUAAAUUGCACAUUUGAUGGUACCAGAAUAAGAAGCACCGGCUAACUUCGUGCCAGCAGCCGCGGUAA
Molecule: ribosomal RNA, 492 nt
Filed under: uncultured bacterium
Lineage: Bacteria
Description: partial 16S ribosomal RNA
Rfam family: Bacterial small subunit ribosomal RNA
Source: RNAcentral